Molecule: transfer RNA, 66 nt
Filed under: Curculionoidea sp. 14 KM-2017
Lineage: Eukaryota; Metazoa; Arthropoda; Insecta; Coleoptera
Description: tRNA-Tyr
Source: RNAcentral
GGGACAAUGGCCGAGUUUUAGGUAAUAAAUUGUAAAUUUAUUAACGGAUUUAACAUCCUUGUUUCA